Ictidomys tridecemlineatus (thirteen-lined ground squirrel) is the source of this 3259-nucleotide long non-coding RNA. RefSeq lists it as uncharacterized. Lineage: Eukaryota; Metazoa; Chordata; Mammalia; Rodentia; Sciuridae. The record is from RefSeq and is a predicted model, not a curated record.
CAUUUUGGGUUUACACACUCUUGGCAGGAGGGCUGCCCAGCUGCAGGCUCUGCUUCUCAGGCAUCCUCAGCUGAAGCUGUGAUGAUUGGCCCUUGGGGAAGAAGGAAGGAGGCGGAUAACUUCCUGCACCUGCUCUGGCUUGCAUGAGGGAUUCCCCCUUCUCACCCAUUAGACUGAAACUACUUGGGACAAAGGGACUAUUUCUAGCUUAUUGUAAUGGAACAAGAGGAUUGAAUUCUAAGUUCAGAAGGAAAGCUUCAUGGAUAACACAGUGCUGCACCUUGAGAAGAGACAGCCUGGAUCCCAUUUCAAGACCAUCCACACGAGUUCCUCAAAGCUAAAGGCCCAUUUCAAAGUCUUUGGGCUAUACAAUUCUGAAUUUGUAGAUGUCUUAGGGUAAUUGUCAAAGUAGAAAAAAUAAAAAAAGCUGGCUGACACAACCUUCCUUCAUCACAGGCCUUGCUCCACCUCAAAAUAACUUCACGCAUGAUGCUUUCAGGGACUUAUAACUCACCCCUACUUUACUCCAGAUACCCCCUCAAAAGGAUGGAGCACAGGAUGGUGAAUGAGAACGAGAGAAGGAGAGGACAUUUCCAGGGGAAAUGACCAUGUUGUCGGCCACAGCCACCCUCUGAAAGGCAUCCGGGAGAAUGGCUCCCUCACUGCAGAAGAGAAAAACUCCCGCCAGCCUGUCAGCAGAUCUGGGCUAGAACAUUCCCUGGAGGUUUGCUCGAAGCACAUGAUGUGCUUUUGUUCCUGAGGAUGAGAGAGUUUGUCGCUGAGCUAGCUGUCCCUGGCCUUGCAGUCCUCUCUGUCAUAAUAUUGCUUCUCAGAUCUCCCGCUGUGACUCAUGCUCCCAUUCUGUUUGGGGGCUGUUGUAACUUUCCCUGUGCAUCUCAUCCACCCUGGUGCUCAGCUCUCACCAGGGCUCCCCAGCUUGACACCUCCAGUCAACCCAUCAGGAGCCUAGCAGGGUAUAAAUAACUUCCCUGAGAAGGACAGUUUCCUAUUGUGUGUUUGAGGUGUUCCUAGGGUGGUUGUUAGGGAUCAAAAUUCAAUGCACACCAUCACCCUCCUUCACACAGAAGGAGAUGACUUUGAUAGUACUCUGAUCAGGGAGGAGAUUGACAUAGGGAGGUAGCUCUCAAAUGUGCCUGGUAACCAGCAGCAGCAGCAGCAGCUGGGAACUGUUAGAACUGUCAAUUCCCAGACCCAUCCCAGACAGCCAAGCAGAGAAUCUGAGGAUGGGCUCCAGCAGUCUGGGUUUUCACAGGCCAAGCCCUCUGGGUUGUGUUGAUGCUCAGCAGACGCAGGACAAGUGUCCUAGUGCAUCUUAUUUUGUGUUGGCUGUUCUGUGUUCUCAUGAUGCUCUCACAUGCAUCAUCUUGCUGAACCUUCACAUGACUUUAGGUAAUUGGCUGGAGAAGACAAAGCUGGGAGGUUAUUCUCAUUUUGCAGACGAGAAGGUACAAAUCAUCAAUGCUAUAUAACUUGUGCAUGGUCCCCACUGCUGGAGCUGGAAACUGCCUUUCUACUUCUUGGGCACUCUGACCCAGUGAAGGAAGACAGAUAGAAGUGUUUGGGAGAACAGUAGCAGAACAUGAAAAGGGAGGGUUUCAUAAUCCUCCAGGUAUGAUGUAGACCACAUCAUCACCCAAGAAAAGGGGAAGGCUUGAGGGCAAGGCUCAGUGUUUUCACGAAGAGUGCAGGGUUAGGGUCUAAAGUUGUAAAGACACAGGGUAACUUGUGCUCUGUUACCUCUUAUGUGCUGUGGGUCCUUGGCCAAAGUCCCAGACUUUCUGAACCUUGGUUUCUGACUAUAAAAGAGGGCUGACGAUAGAAGUGUGUAGCAUAGAGGUUGCACUGAGGGUCAAAGAACAUAGUGCAUGUAAGUUCAUUUGCAGACACUUCAAUUAUAGUGAGCAGUUGAUUUUUAUGUUACUGUUACUAUUAGGAAUUUAAAGAAAAGGGAGGUAAAGACUAGCUUAUUACUCAGCUCUGAACUAUUCAAGAUGGUGAAUGAUGUUAAAAUGAGCAGCCGUUUACUGGACUCCUCUCCCAUGUCUGGGUUUGCUUCAAGGGAUGUCCUCAAAGGCACAGGGAAGGGAGUUGGGCAAGAGUCCUGGAUGAGAAGCUGGGACUAGACUGGAGCAUUUUCCAGGAUGGGUUGGGGUUGCAGAGAUGGAGGGAGACCUUGAAAUGCAUUGGGCCUGAAGUUAGGAACGGAGAACCCAGCAGUGCAAGGCCAUGCGCUAGAUGCUUACCAUGACAGAUGGGGACCUAAUUCACAGAAGUUUCUGCAGCUCUUUUAGGACAGGUACAUGGACCAUGGAUGGCAAUGGAGGCCUAUUUUAUUAUGGGCCUGGCAUUGUGGCACAAAGAUGGUCUGAUCGUUAGCCCUCUAUUGUGCUAGAUGCUGUAGAAGAUUAAACUUGAUAUUCUAUUUUUGAAGGAUGCUGGGAAUGACUGGAAGUGAAUCAUUUCCUUACCUCCUACAUUGAUAGGGGAGAAUGCAAGGAUCAUUUGUGGUGUUCCCUUCCCUUUAUUGGAGGUGUCUUCCUUGGCUCAUGCUUAGACUGUGAAAUGGGUUCACUCCAUGGAAAGUUAAAGCAGGUAGAGACCUGUCUCCUCUCCUAAUAGCAGAGGUGGACCUUGGUCCUCUUUAUGCAUCUGAUUUGGGAAAGGUCACUCAGGUUGUUCUCCAGGCUCAUUUUCCCUCUGCACCCACCCCGUCAAUGUCCCUCAAGGUGUGUUUGCUAGGCGAGAGGGGGCUUUGACCUACUAGUCACAUUCUCCAGUCCACAUUUUAUCAGAACUGGGUUGCGGAAUAUCUAAUGCCUGCAUGACUAUUAUGAAUUUGUAUUUAAUUGUUAUGUAUAUGAUUAUAUAUAGUCAUGUACAAAUGCGAUUAAUUUAUAUUAGUUGAUCAAAACAUGCCAUGGACUGAAUGUUUGUGUCUCCCAAAAUUCACGUGUUGAAGCCUGAACCACAGUGUGAUGGCAUUGGAGGUGGAGCCAUUGGGUGAUUAGGUUUAGAUGAGGCCAUGAGAGUGGACCUCCAUGAUGGGAUUUGAGUUCGAAGAUGAAGAGGAAGAAAGAGCCAUGCUUUCUCUCCCCCCGCCCCAUGGGAGGAUACAAGGAGACAGUGGGUGUCUUCAAUUCAGGAGGAGGGCUCUUCUCAGGAAUUGAGUAUGUCAGUGUCUCCAUCUUUGACUUUCAUCCUCUGUAACUAUGAGAAAUAAACACCUGUUGUUUGGGCA